RNAcentral lists this transfer RNA (62 nucleotides) under Elysia chlorotica (eastern emerald elysia). RNAcentral's name for it is "tRNA-Gly". The record is from RNAcentral. Lineage: Eukaryota; Metazoa; Mollusca; Gastropoda; Plakobranchidae.
CUUUAGUUAGUAUAUUUGUACAUUUACCUUCCAAGUAAAAAGUCUACAUAGUAGCCUAAAGA